CCUUUGGUGGUUCAAUGGUAAAAUGUUUGUUUUUUCACAUAAGAUGCCUAGGUUCAAAUCCUAGUAGAGUA
Non-coding RNA from Rhododendron simsii, 71 nucleotides. Lineage: Eukaryota; Viridiplantae; Streptophyta; Magnoliopsida; Ericales; Ericaceae. The record is from the annotation of a GenBank genome assembly.